GAGAGUUCAACAGGGCGUGAAACCGCUUGGAAGUAAACGGAUGAAGCUGACAUUGUUUCUGCUGGAUUCAGCCGGUCCGACGUACAUUCUUCUGCUCGCUGAUCGCAAGACAGUGGGUGGUUGGCCCUUGAACUAGGACUGGUGCAUUUCCAGUGGAACGCAUCAUGACCGCUGACGACGCUGGCAUAAGGCCGGAUUGUUGCCGGCCGCAGGCUUUCGGGCUUGCGGUGACCCACCUUCCGUGUCCUGUCCGAGUUGGCGUCAGCGGGAACUGGACGUGCCCGGCUUUCUCGUCGCGUGCUUUCUUUUGGCUGAAUGAACUGUCUGGUCGUGCUUGCACGUCCGGGCGACCCUCGGCCUUUUGAUUGUACGUGUUGCGAGGUGGCGCUGAAGGUCUAUGGUGUCCGCGUCAGUCUCCCAUCCGACCCGUCUUGAAACACGGACCAAGGAGUCUAACAUGUGCGCAAGUCAUGGGGUGGAAAACCUAAAGGCGUAAUGAAAGUAAAGGCCGCAAGGCUGAGGUGUGAUGUCCUGUUCAACAGGAUCGCAACACCGCCCCAUCGCAUCGACUUGUUCGAGCGGUGGAGGAAGAGCGUACAUGUUAGGACCCGAAAGAUGGUGAACUAUGCCUGAGCAGGAUGAAGCCAGAGGAAACUCUGGUGGAGGUCCGUAGCGGUUCUGACGUGCAAAUCGAUCGUCAGACUUGGGUAUAGGGGCGAAAGACUAAUCGAACCAUCUAGUAGCUGG
Molecule: ribosomal RNA, 747 nt
Filed under: Trichodorus primitivus
Lineage: Eukaryota; Metazoa; Nematoda; Enoplea; Triplonchida; Trichodoridae
Description: eukaryotic LSU rRNA
Rfam family: Eukaryotic large subunit ribosomal RNA
Source: RNAcentral